This is a long non-coding RNA of Herpailurus yagouaroundi (jaguarundi), 1492 nucleotides long. RefSeq lists it as uncharacterized. NCBI's taxonomy places the organism in Eukaryota, Metazoa, Chordata, Mammalia, Carnivora, Felidae. The transcript is spliced from 2 exons. The record is from RefSeq and is a predicted model, not a curated record.
ACUCUCUCUCCUUUCUCUCACCAGUAUCUGCUGGCACCACCUGGAAGCAGCAGCUCAGACCCUCUCCUGACCUCUGCCACUCACCCAGGUGGUCUCCUCCCAGCAGGUGCAGCCACUAUGUCACCCUGGGCUUCUGUCCACCUGCCAGGACUUGGAGCCAAGCCGGGUCUCCUUGCAAUCCUGUGCGCCCUCCUGUUUCCCGAUGCUGGAAUGAAAUCCUCUGAAGCGUAUUACACACAGUGAUGCACACAGCUGUGAUUUCAUUCAGCAAAUGUGGUCUGACACCUUUACUGCCUGAAAACAUGAUCUGCCUCCUUCUGCGUAAGGUUGCUAGAAAUUGGCUUCUCGUGAUCUUCACCAGGAGACUGAGAAGAUAGACUUUCACCUAAGACUUUGUGUAUCCCUGUCUUUGGGGGCACUGAUAUCUGAUAUCUCUCCCGGUCAAAGGACAGGAGUGGGUGCUGAGGGGCAUAAAGGGUGGACUUCGUUGAAUGCCUUCUGUAUUCCCCUUAGCACUGAUUUUCCUCAUUUCUUUACCCUGCUCUGUGCUCUAGGAGGCUAACGCCCACGGACUACACUAAUGGACAUCUUUGUUGUGAUUUCCACUGAAUGUCGGCCAGUGAGAGUUGAAGUUCAAAGGAAUAAUGACCUCAUCAUUUGACAACAAUUUCCAUUCCUUGGGCACUAGACUUCCAAACCUGUGGAUCCAGGGCCCUGGGAGAAAAGAAACAGAUUCUUCCAGUGGGUUAAUUGGUAUAAAAAGGAAUGGCCACUCCCACCUACACCUCUUGGGUCCCGAGCACAAAUUCUGUCUCUGGGGUAGAGGGCCCUAUAUGUUGGCCCCAGGGGAGGAUACAGCCAACCCAAGGCCACCCGUCAGGAGGGAACCCUGAGCUCACUCUGCUCCCAACUCCCAGCCUCCUCAUGAUGCUUCCACUGACUGCUUCCAAAUAGCAACCAGAGAAUAAGGAAACCCAUCCAUGCGGUCCAUGAGGGUCCACCUCUUAAUGCCCAGAAUGAGGUAACGAAAGAUGGACAGUCCAUCUGGAGGAGCAAAAGGAAGAAAUCAAGCAGAUGGUCACUUAAGUGGGUUAUGUUUUCCACCAAAUAAGUAAAAUAAGCUGGGGAAUAGGGGGCCACUUUGAAUUUGCUUAAUGUUUGUUAACUUUACAAGAAUGUACGUCAGCAUUUGUGAGCAGCUUUGGGUUGUCUCAGACCUGCUGCCCUACCCAGUGGAGCCUGGUCAGGACACUAUGAGGGCCACUCAUGAAGCCAUGGCUAAGGGUCACAGUGGGCACGCAUCUGAAUGAGUUCCUUUGUGGGCAUUCUGCCCCAGGACCCUUCCUGCUAGUGGAAGGGAAAAGGCUAACAAAAAUCACAUAUCUUCUCUGUUUAGUGAGCUAGUUUUAGCAGAAAGUGUCAAGGAAAAUACACGGAGAGCACUCAAAAUCCCAUAACCAGACUUAAAUAAACACUCACAAUGUGCAAAGAG